UACGAAGGGGGCUAGCGUUGUUCGGAAUCACUGGGCGUAAAGGGCGCUUAGGCGGCUUUAUAAGUCGGGGGUGAAAGCCUGUGGCUCAACCACAGAAUUGCCUUCGAUACUGUAGAGCUUGAGACCGGAAGAAGUAAGUGGAACUGCGAGUGUAGAGGUGAAAUUCGUAGAUAUUCGCAAGAACACCAGUGGCGAAGGCGGCUUACUGGUCCGGUUCUGACGCUGAGGCGCGAAAGCGUGGGGAGCAAACAGG
This 253-nucleotide ribosomal RNA is filed under the name uncultured bacterium. RNAcentral's name for it is "partial 16S ribosomal RNA". It matches the Rfam family "Bacterial small subunit ribosomal RNA", at positions 524 to 776 of the family's 1533-position model. The record is from RNAcentral.